CUGGGCCUUUCAGCUGCUGUCGGUGUGGUGUGAGGAAGAAACAGGCAAAGAAGAUGAGGCGUAAGCACAGAGCUAAUCUUCUUAAACAGUCUCACAGUUGCAAAAAGAGUGCUUGAAAGAGCAACUGUAAGGAAGACGAUUCUAGUUUCAGAGGAACUUCCCAUCACUGUGAAAGAUACCUAAGGAUCAACAACUUAAAGGAGGAAAGAUUUAUUUCAGAGGUUUCAAUUCUUGGUCAUUUGGGCCUGUGGCAAAGCAGAGCAUCAUGGUAUGAGUAUAUGGUGGAGAAAAGCUGUUUACCUCAUGGUGGCCAGGAAGCAAAGUGAUAGAGACAGGAAGGGGCCAGGAUUCCCAUAGCUCCUUCAAGGUGUGCUCCCAUGAUGUCACUUCCUCCCACUUGGCCCCCAUCCUGAAGACUUUACCACCAAUAGCACCACAGGUUGGUCACCAAGUCUUUAACACAGAGAGUCUGGGAGAACAUUUAAUAUUAAAACCGUAAUGGGACUAGGAAGC
Molecule: long non-coding RNA, 513 nt
Organism: Heterocephalus glaber (naked mole-rat)
Lineage: Eukaryota; Metazoa; Chordata; Mammalia; Rodentia; Bathyergidae
Source: Ensembl